CUUUUCCUACGGGGGGCAGCAGUGGGGAAUAUUGCACAAUGGGGGAAACCCUGAUGCAGCGACGCCGCGUGAGUGAAGAAGUAUUUCGGUAUGUAAAGCUCUAUCAGCAGGGAAGAAAAUGACGGUACCUGAUUAAGAAGCCCCGGCUAACUACGUGCCAGCAGCCGCGGUAAUACGUAGGGGGCAAGCGUUAUCCGGAUUUACUGGGUGUAAAGGGAGCGUAGACGGCAGCACAAGACUGGAGAGAAAUGCCGG
RNAcentral lists this ribosomal RNA (255 nucleotides) under uncultured bacterium. RNAcentral describes it as "partial 16S ribosomal RNA". It matches the Rfam family "Bacterial small subunit ribosomal RNA", at positions 333 to 605 of the family's 1533-position model. The record is from RNAcentral.